AUGUGGGAGUGGCAGGUGGUCCACGAAAAAGCAGCUGAGGACGGGGGGCAGCCAGAGCUGAGAGCGCGUACCGGAAGAGCCUCUAACAUGGCCCUUCGCCUCAUCUGCCCCACGAGACACCGCCGACUGGGGAUAUCAGCUUGCCAGAGAGACGAGCUAUUCUUAGAACGGUGCUUCAAUCACUCGGUAACGACAGAUAUGUUGCUCCUGUAUCAUUUUAUCAAACUCAUCACAAAUAAACAAAUACAAAGCGUCACAUUGAUUGGUUUCUGCAGUUCGGUAAACAAGUGUUUGUUUUUUUUCGUUCGUUCUCACAGCGCAGAAGAGCUAUACAGCAAGGAGGAAGAGAGCGAGCCCGAGCUGGAGAAUAGAAAUGCAAGAGGUCAGAGCCCGAAGAGGUCCGGAAGAGGCCGGAUGGAUCCGAGCAGCCCGCCACUCCUCUCUCCUUCCUUUUGUUCUCUUCCCUCUGCCUUUUCCCUCGCCCGCCGUUCCUACCCGAUCUCCUCUGUCACCCUUUCACCCGUCUUGUAUUUCACGUUCUCUGCUUUCUCUCCCCUAUUGCUGGAUUAUUCUCCCUCCUCUCCCCUUUCUGUCGUUCUUUUCCCUCUCCGGCACCUCCCUUUCCUCACUGCUCUCUCAGUUAUAUUCCAUUCAAAUGUGCUUUAUUGGCCUGACUGUUCAAGGUACAGCGUUGAUCUCCGUGUCACUGACAACUGCAGAAAUGAAACAAUAAUUGAAAACGCUAAUGACAAGAUGGGGUAGAACCAAGCAAACAAACUGUAUGGUCUCUUAGGCUGUAUGUUGCACUUAUAAGGUGCAGGGGUCUAGACCUCCCCACACACACACACUUUCAGCUGUCCCCCCUCUCUACCACUCUCCCACACUCGGCUCAAGUUGCACACGCCGCACGCGUAGCCAAGACAGACCAUUACGCAUAAUCGACAGUCCUCUGUCCGGGAAACCGGAGCGAAGGGUCUGAUUUUAUAUGUAGUAUCGGAUUAAUUAUCACCUUUCCGUCGCUCUCUGUCAUCGAAGCCGUUGCUUGCGCGUGUAUGUAUUAGUGUGUGCAGACAUGCGUUUAGCCGUAUGCGUGUUUGCGUGCAUGCAGGCGCCCUCCCCGUGCUGCACCCACGGUAGCGCCCUGGUGGUGGAGCAGGUAGACGUGCUGUGUUCGCGGCAGUGGUCCAGGUAAAUGCCUCUGUCUCUUUACAACACAGAUGUUUCCAGUUAACUUUACCGUUAUACAUUAUGUUUUAUUAAAAUGUUGUAUUUACUCAUUAGUAUGCACAUAAUUCUUAAAUAAAACAUUGGGUUCCUGCGGGUUCCA
Molecule: long non-coding RNA, 1327 nt
Filed under: Scleropages formosus (Asian bonytongue)
Lineage: Eukaryota; Metazoa; Chordata; Actinopteri; Osteoglossiformes; Osteoglossidae
Description: lncRNA (ENSSFOG00015032675.1)
Source: RNAcentral